AUCCUGCAGGUACCACCCUCCAAAUAAAAUAAAUAAAAGGAAGCACUUAAUUUACACUCAUCCACCUAGAAAUAGAAACUCAUAUUUUAUGCAUCAAAUUUCAUAUUUUUGAAGUGUCAAAUAUUAUAUAGAGAAACAAAGUCCUUCAAACAACUGGUUAUUGGGCACCCUCAUAAGCAAAUAAAUUAAAUGGAUCCCCCAAACAAGAUUUUCCCACCGCCACAGAAUCCAACCUCUCCUUCGUAGCUGCCGUGGGAUUGAGCCUCAUUGCGACCAUCAAAGUCUUGGCCAUUUAUCCCCUAGAUCGCAUUUCUCUUAUGUCUCUACACCCAAUGUCAGAUCUAUUGGGUCAUCAACGAAUCUAAUGAUUUUAGAGAGAGGGUAGAUGAUAGAGAAGAGUAUAAUAAGGAUAAGGAUAUUUAUAAAAAAAUUUUAAAAAAAAA
RNAcentral lists this long non-coding RNA (443 nucleotides) under Olea europaea subsp. europaea. Lineage: Eukaryota; Viridiplantae; Streptophyta; Magnoliopsida; Lamiales; Oleaceae. The record is from RNAcentral.